This 26-nucleotide non-coding RNA is filed under the name Mus musculus (house mouse). Lineage: Eukaryota; Metazoa; Chordata; Mammalia; Rodentia; Muridae. The record is from RNAcentral.
UGCGUCCUUUGACCUUUGAUGUCCCU